RNAcentral lists this ribosomal RNA (294 nucleotides) under Escherichia coli. Its description in RNAcentral is "partial 23S ribosomal RNA". It matches the Rfam family "Bacterial large subunit ribosomal RNA", at positions 1 to 286 of the family's 2925-position model. Lineage: Bacteria; Pseudomonadati; Pseudomonadota; Gammaproteobacteria; Enterobacterales; Enterobacteriaceae. The record is from RNAcentral.
GGGUUGUGAGGUUAAGCGACUAAGCGUACACGGUGGAUGCCCUGGCAGUCAGAGGCGAUGAAGGACGUGCUAAUCUGCGAUAAGCGUCGGUAAGGUGAUAUGAACCGUUAUAACCGGCGAUUUCCGAAUGGGGAAACCCAGUGUGUUUCGACACACUAUCAUUAACUGAAUCCAUAGGUUAAUGAGGCGAACCGGGGGAACUGAAACAUCUAAGUACCCCGAGGAAAAGAAAUCAACCGAGAUUCCCCCAGUAGCGGCGAGCGAACGGGGAGGAGCCCAGAGCCUGAAUCAGUG